CGAAAGCCAGGGGAGCGAAAGGGAUUAGAUACCCCUGUAGUCCUGGCCGUAAACGAUGAACACUAGGUGUCGGGGGAAUCGACCCCCUCGGUGUCGUAGCCAACGCGUUAAGUGUUCCGCCUGGGGAGUACGCACGCAAGUGUGAAACUCAAAGGAAUUGACGGGGGCCCGCACAAGCGGUGGAGUAUGUGGUUUAAUUCGAUGCAACGCGAAGAACCUUACCAGGGUUUGACAUCCUGCGAAUUCCUUGGAAACGAGGGAGUGCCUUCGGGAGCGCAGAGACAGGUGGUGCAUGGCUGUCGUCAGCUCGUGUCGUGAGAUGUUGGGUUAAGUCCCGCAACGAGCGCAACCCACGUCGUUAGUUGCCAGCAUUCAGUUGGGCACUCUAGCGAGACCGCCGGUGAUAAACCGGAGGAAGGUGUGGAUGACGUCAAGUCAUCAUGCCCCUUACAUCCUGGGCUACACACGUACUACAAUGCUACGGACAAAGGGCAGCAAGCUCGCGAGAGUUAGCAAAUCCCAUAAACCGUGGCUCAGUUCAGAUCGUAGGCUGCAACUCGCCUACGUGAAGGAGGAAUCGCUAGUAAUCGCAGGUCAGCAUACUGCGGUGAAUACGUUCCCGGGCCUUGUACACACCGCCCGUCACACCAUGGAAGUUGGCCACGCCCGAAGUCGUUACUCCAACCCUUGUGGAGGAGGACGCCGAAGGUGGGGCUGAUGACUGGGGUGAA
This 731-nucleotide ribosomal RNA is filed under the name Merismopedia sp. NIES-4406. RNAcentral's name for it is "bacterial SSU rRNA". It matches the Rfam family "Bacterial small subunit ribosomal RNA", at positions 754 to 1484 of the family's 1533-position model. Lineage: Bacteria; Bacillati; Cyanobacteriota; Cyanophyceae; Synechococcales; Merismopediaceae. The record is from RNAcentral.